AUUUCAAAUAGGCAUUUGGAUAUGACUCUGGAUUCUAAAGAGAGCUCUGAGCUUGAAGGAUAAAUAUGGGAGGCAUGAAAAUGAAUAUUAUCGCCUCUAAAGAGAGCAUAGAGUAAGAAGAGAAUGCUAAUGCUUGAGAAAUUCCAAUUCAGAUAGUGGAGCAGCUGGCAAGGUAGACAGAAGAAGAGCAGUCAGAAAAGCAGGAAGAACACCAGGCCAGUGAGGUGUUAUGGAAGUCAAAGAAGAGAACAAAGAAAAACAGAAUGAAAAAGAGUAAAGAAAGCCUACAUGAUCCAUGAGAUUCCAUUAAAUGUACAAAUAUUUAAAUAAUUGGGAUUCAAGAAGGAGAAGAGAGACAGAAGGAGACAGAAAGUUUAUUUAAAGAAAUAACAGCUGAGAACUUCCCAAAUUUGGAGAGAGACUUGGAAUCUAGGUUCACAAAGCUAAUAGAUCACUCUAUUAUCUUAAUGCAAAAUGACCUUCUCCAAGAUACAUUAUAAUGAAACUGUCAAAAAUCAAAGAUAAAGAGAGUGACCAGAGGAAAAAAAAUUGUAACCUACAAAGGAACCCCCAUUAAGCUAUCAGCAUAUUUCUCAGCAGAAACCUGACAGGCUAGAAGAGGCUGGAAUGACACAUUCAAAGUAUUGAAAAAAAAUUUGCCAACCAAGAAUACUCUAUCCAGAAAAGGUAUCCUUCAGAUACAAAGGAGAAUUAAAGAUCUUUCUAGACAAGAAAAAAAAAGUUUGAGGGUGUUCAUCAUGACUAGACCUGUCCUGCAAGAAAUACUGAAAGACGUUCUUCAGGCUGAAAUGAAAAGAUACUAAUCAGUGACAUGAAAAUAUAGAAAAGGACGCAACACAUUGGUAAAGGUGAAUAUACAGUCAGAUUUAGAAAACUCUAAUUCUGUAAAAGGAUGAUGUGUUAACCACUUAACUAUAGCAUAAAGGUUAAAGGAAAAGAGUAGUAAAAAUAACUAUGGCUACUGUAAUUUGUUAAUGAAUACACAAUACAAAAAGAAAGAAAUUGUGAGAUCAAAAGCAUAAAAUGUGGGGGGAGGAGUAAAAGGGUAGAGUUUUUGUAUGUGAUUGAAGUUAAGUUAUCAGCUUAAUAUACACUGUUAUAUCUGUAAGAUGUUUUAUGUAGGCUUCAUUGUAACCAUAAGCAAAAAUCUAGAGCAGACUCACAAAAGAUAAAGAAAGGGGAAACAGAGCACACACCCUGGAAAAUCACCAAUUUACAAAUGUAGGGAGAAACAGAGGAGAAAAGAAAGAAUUGAAAUACAAAACAAACAGAAAGCAAAGAAAAAAAUGGCAUUUGUAAGUCCUUACGUAUCAAUAAUUACUUUAAAUGUAAAUGGAUUGAAUUCUCCAAUAAAAAGGCACAGAGUGGCUAGAUGGAUUAAAAAACAAGACCCAACUUUAUGCUGCCUAUAGUAGACUCACUUCAGUUUUAAGGACACACACAGGCUCAAAGUGAGGGCAUGGAAAAAGAUACUUCAUGCUAGUGGAAACCAAGAGAAACUAGGUU
RNAcentral lists this long non-coding RNA (1527 nucleotides) under Equus caballus (horse). RNAcentral describes it as "lncRNA (ENSECAG00000047851.1)". Lineage: Eukaryota; Metazoa; Chordata; Mammalia; Perissodactyla; Equidae. The record is from RNAcentral.